AUUGAACGCUGGCGGCAGGCCUAACACAUGCAAGUCGAGCGGAUGAAAGGAGCUUGCUCCUGGAUUCAGCGGCGGACGGGUGAGUAAUGCCUAGGAAUCUGCCUGGUAGUGGGGGAUAACGUCCGGAAACGGGCGCUAAUACCGCAUACGUCCUGAGGGAGAAAGUGGGGGAUCUUCGGACCUCACGCUAUCAGAUGAGCCUAGGUCGGAUUAGCUAGUUGGUGGGGUAAAGGCCUACCAAGGCGACGAUCCGUAACUGGUCUGAGAGGAUGAUCAGUCACACUGGAACUGAGACACGGUCCAGACUCCUACGGGAGGCAGCAGUGGGGAAUAUUGGACAAUGGGCGAAAGCCUGAUCCAGCCAUGCCGCGUGUGUGAAGAAGGUCUUCGGAUUGUAAAGCACUUUAAGUUGGGAGGAAGGGCAGUAAGUUAAUACCUUGCUGUUUUGACGCUACCAACAGAAUAAGCACCGGCUAACUUCGUG
This 484-nucleotide ribosomal RNA is filed under the name uncultured bacterium. RNAcentral describes it as "partial 16S ribosomal RNA". It matches the Rfam family "Bacterial small subunit ribosomal RNA", at positions 30 to 507 of the family's 1533-position model. The record is from RNAcentral.